Molecule: ribosomal RNA, 612 nt
Filed under: Papiliotrema laurentii
Lineage: Eukaryota; Fungi; Basidiomycota; Tremellomycetes; Tremellales; Rhynchogastremaceae
Description: eukaryotic LSU rRNA
Rfam family: Eukaryotic large subunit ribosomal RNA
Source: RNAcentral
UAAGCGGAGGAAAAGAAACUAACAAGGAUUCCCCUAGUAACGGCGAGUGAACCGGGAAGAGCUCAAAUUUGAAAUCUGGCGUCCUCAGGGCGUCCGAGUUGUAAUCUAUAGAGGCGUUUUCCGUGCCGGACCGUGUCCAAGUUCCUUGGAACAGGAUAUCAAAGAGGGUGACAAUCCCGUACUUGACACGACGACCGGUGCUCUGUGAUACGUCUUCUACGAGUCGAGUUGUUUGGGAAUGCAGCUCAAAAUGGGUGGUGAGUUCCAUCUAAAGCUAAAUAUUGGCGAGAGACCGAUAGCGAACAAGUACCGUGAGGGAAAGAUGAAAAGCACUUUGGAAAGAGAGUUAAACAGUACGUGAAAUUGUUGAAAGGGAAACGAUUGAAGUCAGUCGUGACCGAGAGGCUCAGCCGGUUCUGCCGGUGUAUUCCCCUCGGUCGGGUCAACAUCAGUUUUGUCCGGUGGAUAAGGACGGUAGGAAGGUGGCACCCUCGGGUGUGUUAUAGCCUGCCGUCGCAUACAUCGGGUGAGACUGAGGAACGCAGCUCGCCUUUAUGGCCGGGGUUCGCCCACGUCCGAGCUUAGGAUGUUGACAUAAUGGCUUUAAACGAC